UGUUGGAAAACCACUUCAUCCAUUGAAAGAAAGCAAGACGUUUUCCAAAAUAAAUGCCUGCAUCCUUAGGAUAUAUUCUGGCCAAACACAAUCUAUUGAUUGAUUGAUUGAAACUUUUAUUAGUAGAUUGCACAGUUCAGUACAUAUUCCGUACAAUUGACCACUAAAUGGUAACACCCGAAUUAGUUUUUCAACUUGUUUAAGUCGGAGUCCACGUUAAUCGAUUCAAUCUCAAUUGAAAAACUCUGUGAAAGAACAACCACAACAUCAAAUAAAAAGACCAUCCGAAUUUGACAUUGGAAAUGGCGUGUCCGUCAUCUUCUCUCGACAAAAGAUCCCUAUAUUGGACGCCUCGAGGGAGGAGAACUUGAGGUCGACCAAGACAAAACCUGAAGAAGAAUCGGGAGGUUUGGCAAGUAUGCUAAUAAGCAUGGCAGGGGAUUGGAUGAUCAGUCCCAGCUGGGUAAUCCAAUUACCUGCCAGCUGUGCUUCAAGGCCGGACCUUACACACCCCACGCCCUCCCCCCUCCCCCCGCCACAGGCCUCUUCUAUAUGGCUCCAGGUGUCAGAAAACCACUUCAUCCAUUGAAAGAAAGCAAGACGUUUUCCAAAAUAAAUGCCUGCAUCCUUAGGAUAUAUUCUGGCCAAACACAAUCUAUUGAUUGAUCGAAUGAAACUUUUAUUAGUAGAUUGCACAGUACAGUACAUAUUCCGUACAAUUGACCACUAAAUGGUAACACCCGAAUUAGUUUUUCAACUUGUUUAAGUCGGAGUCCACGUUAAUCGAUUCAAUCUCAAUUGAAAAACUCUGUGAAAGAACAACCACAACAUCAAAUAAAAAGACCAUCCGAAUUCGACAUUGGAAAUGGCUUGUCCGUCCUCUUCUCUCGAGAAAAGAUCCCUAUAUUGGACGCCUCGAGGGAGGAGAACUUGAGGUCGACCAAGACAAAACCUGAAGAAGAAUCGGGAGGUUUGGCAAGUAUGCUAAUAAGCAUGGCAGGGGAUUGGACGAUCAGUCCCAGCUGGGUAAUCCAAUCACCUGCGAACUGUGCUUCCAGGCCGGACCUUACACAGGCCCGCAGAACACGACCCCUCUCCAUAGUCCUCUAUUAUAUAGCUCAAAACCUGAAGAAGAAUCAUAGAAAAAGAGCUGAGGAGUUAGAGACUGUCCCUCGAGACUGAUCCCAGAAUAGUGGCUGACAGAGCCGGAUGGAAAUUCCUCGUUUUGUCUCAAGCGCCAAAAUACCCUGAAGAGGACUAAGUGAGUGAGUGAGUGGGUAUCGGUAUUCAUUCCCAGGUACCGGGAAUUGGUACUGGCUCUGCCUUCCCUGUCUGCACAUAACUGAGAGUUCUGCAUACCUUCUUAUACAAACAGUGCAGUUUACACAGGACUUACCUAUUGCAUAACACUGUUUAUUUUCCUUACCGUAUUUAUACCAAGCGAUUUGAAAUCCUGCAAAGGAAAGGGCAAGUUUAGGUUUGUCUUCAGGCAUUCUUCACCCCGUCCCACACUUUUAAAUUUUUCAGAAAACACACAUUAACCCUCACUGACUCACAGAGUGGGAACAGAGGUUCCGCCUCCUGGUGGCUUGUGGGCGUAGACGAGCUCUUAUGUGAAGACUUUCUCUCACAUUCCCAGAAAUCCCAAAGCCAUGCUCGGGGAUCAGACUUUCUUUUGGCGGGGUAUGCUGACGUUUCGGAGGGUCCUACUGUGGGUUUGCAUCUGCAUUGUGCUUCCGGGAGAGGAGCACGGAGCUCUGGUUGUUUCUCCCAGAGAUGCUCGAGUUGAGGACGCAAACGAAGAUGUGAGCACCAAGUCCGUAAAGAUGGUGGAAGUGCAGAGUUUUCGAGUUUCCUGCACGGUGACGUCGCGUUUCGCUCACACCGUCUUGGCCUCCAGGGCUCGGAACAAAGCCGACGUCUCGCAGGAGAUCUCCUUUGAAGUGGAGCUCCCAAAGACGGCCUUCAUCACCAACUUCACCAUAGAAACUGAAGGUCAGGUGUAUGUUGGCGAGGUGAAGGAGAAAGCCAAAGCCAAGAAAGAGUACGAGAAGGCGGUUUCUUCGGGAAAGACCGCUGGACUGGUCAAGGCAUCCGGAAGACAGAUGGAGAAGUUUUCCGUGUCGGUCAACGUUGCAGCACAAAGCAAUGUCACGUUUGUGUUGACCUACGAAGAACUCCUGCAGAGGAAACUGGGCCAGUAUGAGAUCCUGACCCGGGUGAAACCCAAACAGGUGGUCCAGGAGUUCCAGAUCACCGUAAGCAUUUUUGAGCCCCAGGGUAUCGCCUCGGUGGAGGCCUCAGGAACAUUCCUCACCAACCAGCUGCUCCCCCUGGUGGAGAGAACCGUCACUGACACCAAGGCUCACAUUACUUUCUCACCAACUCUGGAACAACAGAGGACAUGUCCAGUAUGUCAGGGCACGAGAAUAGACGGAGACUUUGUUGUCAAGUACGACAUCAAACGAGAAGAAACCCUGGGAGAAAUUCAGAUCGUAAACGGCUACUUUGUGCACUUCUUUGCUCCACCGGACUUACCCCGACUGCCAAAGAAUGUGAUUUUUGUGGUUGACAGGAGCGGCUCCAUGAGCGGAAAAAAGAUAAUACAAACCCGGGAAGCCUUGGCAGCCAUUCUAAAGGACCUCGACGAGGACGACCACUUUGCUGUCAUCCAGUUCGAUAGUGACAUUAUCACCUGGAAGGAGUCUGUCGUGAAAGCAACCAAAGAAAACGUGACGGAGGCCAUUGCCUACGUGGAGAAACUGAAAGACAGGGGAGCGACUAAUAUCAAUGACGCUCUAUUGAAAGCAGUGGCAAUGCUGAGGAAGGAAAGACAAAAUGAGAGACUUCCUGAGAGAAGUGUGGAUAUGAUUAUCCUCUUGACUGAUGGCAUGCCAAACCACGGCGUGUCCAACCUGCAGACCAUCCAGGAGAACGUGCGCUCGGCUAUUGAGGGGAAAAUGUCUCUGUUCUGUCUGGGAUUCGGAAACGAUGUGGACUACUCCUUUCUGGAUGUGAUGAGCAGAGAAAACAAAGGGUUGGCCCGCAGAAUCUUUGAGGCCUCGGAUGCAGCUCUACAACUCCAAGGUUUCUACGAUGAAGUGUCCAGCCCACUGCUUCUGGAAGUGAACCUGCGCUAUCCUGACAACACGGUAGAGUUCUUGACCAAAAACCACCACAGCCAUUUGUUCAACGGCUCAGAGAUCGUGGUGGCCGGUCGGUUAGAUGACAGCCGACGUCUUGAUAACUUCCUUGUGGAGGUGUUUGCUCAGGGGCCCAAGGCAGAUUUCCAGGUGCAUGGAAAGGCCAAAGUGGCAGACUGGAACGCGACCUAUCCAGAAGACAAGUACAUCUUUGGGGACUUCACAGAGCGUCUGUGGGCUUACCUCACCAUCCAGCAGCUACUGGAGAAGAGUCACAUUGGUAGUCAAGAGGAGAAGGACAGAAUCACAGCUGAGGCCCUGAACAUGUCGCUGCGCUACAACUUUGUUACCCCUCUCACCUCCUUGGUGGUCAUUAAGCCUGAAACUGAGGACGGACAAGACAGCCCGCUCAUCGCCGAUAAACUGACUGAAGAUCAGAGACAAAGAGCAGAGAGACAUCGUGGUUCCUCGGCCCACGCGGCACCUCCCCGCCGUCAAUUAGAUGUCGAUGGAGAUCCACAUUUCAUGAUAGAGCUCCCGGACAGAGAUGACGCCCUGUGCUUUAACAUCAAUGACAAACCAGGGACUAUUUUCAACCUUGUCAGAGACCCCAAAUCAGGCUUUGUGGUGAAUGGUGAAAUUAUUGCGAAGAAGAAAUUUGUCAAGGAUCAAAAGAUGAGCACUUACUUUGGUCGUCUUGGUAUCAGCCACAAGACUCUGGGGCUGAAGCUGGAGGUGAACACACGGGACAUCUCCUUGUUCUACGGGGGCAAACAGGUUCAGCUCCGGUGGUCGGAUUCGACCUCUCUCAAAGACACAAGGUCAGUUCUACCAUGGUGUUGAGUUUGAAGUGACAGACCCGCAACUGAAAAGAGAUGCCACCAUGUACGUGAAGGGACAGACGCUUAAUGUGACCAGACACCAGCAGAAGGACUUCAGCAGGGAUGUGAUAAGCGGGGAAAGUAUUUCUUGCUGGUUUGUAGACAAUGAUGGAGCUGGACUCAUCGAUGGGAAAGCCUCUGAUUACAUUAUGCCGGACCUUUUUUAAAAUCACACGCAUCUUUUUUUCAGUAAAUAAAUGUUUGUCAUUUUG
Nerophis ophidion (straightnose pipefish) is the source of this 4236-nucleotide RNA transcript. It is a transcript of the gene named inter-alpha-trypsin inhibitor heavy chain H3-like, with no coding region annotated. NCBI's taxonomy places the organism in Eukaryota, Metazoa, Chordata, Actinopteri, Syngnathiformes, Syngnathidae. The transcript is spliced from 20 exons. The record is from RefSeq and is a predicted model, not a curated record.